This 492-nucleotide ribosomal RNA is filed under the name uncultured bacterium. RNAcentral's name for it is "partial 16S ribosomal RNA". It matches the Rfam family "Bacterial small subunit ribosomal RNA", at positions 29 to 507 of the family's 1533-position model. The record is from RNAcentral.
AGUGAACGCUGGCGGUAGGCCUAACACAUGCAAGUCGAACGGCAGCACAGUAAGAGCUUGCUCUUACGGGUGGCGAGUGGCGGACGGGUGAGGAAUACAUCGGAAUCUACUUUUUCGUGGGGGAUAACGUAGGGAAACUUACGCUAAUACCGCAUACGACCUCCGGGUGAAAGCAGGGGAUCUUCGGACCUUGCGCGAUUGAAUGAGCCGAUGUCGGAUUAGCUAGUUGGCGGGGUAAAGGCCCACCAAGGCGACGAUCCGUAGCUGGUCUGAGAGGAUGAUCAGCCACACUGGAACUGAGACACGGGCCAGACUCCUACGGGAGGCAGCAGUGGGGAAUAUUGGACAAUGGGCGCAAGCCUGAUCCAGCCAUACCGCGUGGGUGAAGAAGGCCUUCGGGUUGUAAAGCCCUUUUGUUGGGAAAGAAAAGCAGCAGGUUAAUACCCCGCUGUUCUGACGGUACCCAAAGAAUAAGCACCGGCUAACUUCGUG